Molecule: ribosomal RNA, 119 nt
Filed under: Pteropus alecto (black flying fox)
Lineage: Eukaryota; Metazoa; Chordata; Mammalia; Chiroptera; Pteropodidae
Source: RNAcentral
GUCAACGUCCAUGCCACCCUGAACAAGCCCAAUCCCGUCUGAUCUCAGAAGCUAAGCAGGGUUGGGCCUGGUUGGUACUUAGAUGGAAGACCACCUAGGAAGACCAGGCACUGUAGGCA